Gasterosteus aculeatus aculeatus (three-spined stickleback) is the source of this 865-nucleotide long non-coding RNA. The record is from Ensembl. Lineage: Eukaryota; Metazoa; Chordata; Actinopteri; Perciformes; Gasterosteidae.
GGCGGCUCUCAUGGCACCGGAUCAGACCGACACGGAGCCGCAGGGGAUUCACCGACCCGUCGGGUCAUAAGAGGACAGAGAGUCCAGAGAGGAGGACAGAGAGUCCAGAGAGGAGGACAGAGAGUCCAGAGAGGAGGACAGAGUUGAGAGGAGAGUCUCUGCAGCAGCGUCAGAUGCAAACUACUUAUUCAAUACUUCCUCUGGGGAGCAUGAAUGAGUCCAUUAGCUCAGUGAAAAUAGGGUCAAUCCUUCUCCUUUUUAAUUAAUUCAAGUUAUAAUAUAAACUUUGUAUUAAAUGAUGUUGGGAACAGUCUGUUUGGGGACCAGUGUGUUAGGAAUCAAUGGAGAUGCAGGAGGACAGCAGCGAUGAUCAUCAUGGUUCUGUGGAAGUGGAACGAAGAACACUGAAGCACGAGGACAUUUCUAUAUUUUGAAGAUAUUUCUUACAGACCUUUUUGUCCUUCCAGAGACAGAAUGUCUUUAUCCGACACUCUGAGAUGCAACGUGAGUCUCUGGGAGAAGAGCUUGUAUGUACGACUUCUUCAUGGUUGAUCCUCCAUUGACUGUUGGGUGUGUGUCUGCCGUCGAGGCAGCGCUUCAUCUGGAGCGUCUAAUGUGGCAGAUGACAGAGAGGGUUCUAUCGGUUCUAAAGAGGGUCCGGUAUCGGUUCUAAAGAGGGUCGGAUAUCGGUUCUAAAGAGGGUCCGAUAUCGGUUCUAAAGAGGGCCGGAUAUCGGUUCUAAAGAGGGUCCGGUAUCGGUUCUAAAGAGGGUCCGAUAUCGGUUCUAAAGAGGGUCGGAUAUCGGUUCUAAAGAGGGUCCGGUAUCGGUUCUAAAGAGGGUCCGAUAUCGGUUCUAAAGAGGGUC